UCUUCACUGCACUGCGUCUUCUUUCCAAGGGUCUCGGUGAUUCGGCCACAGCCUCAGCCUCCAUCACGCGGUGAACUGAUGGUGUUGGAAGAUUCAUAGACUCCAGGACAUUCCUGAAGCCGAGAAAAGGUUAAGUAGGGUCUGGCCUGGAAUACUCUCCUAGAUGAAAAUAGCCCAACCAUGAGCCACCUUCUCAGCAGAUGAGAUGAAAUUAAAGCUCUUCAACUCCUCAAGGCCCAGAGACUAUCACAAAAGAGGUCAGAAAUCCUGAAGGUCACUUUCUGACAAACUCAGGAGCCCCAGGUUUAUCUUGGAGCCUCAAGAGGAGAUAAAUUCACCCAACUCAGGCUGGAGUGCAGUGGAAUGAUCUUGGCUCACUUCUAUCUCUGCCUUCCAGUUUCAAGUGAUUCUCCUGCCUCAGCCUACUGAGUAGUUGGGAUUACAGGUGCCUGCCACCACACCCAGCUAAUUUUUGUAUUUUUAGUAAAGAUGGGGUUUCACCAUGUUGGCCAGGCUGGUCUCAAACUCCUGAUGUCAUGAUCUGCCCGCUUCAGUCUCCCAAAGUGUGAUUACAGGUGUGAGCCACCAUGCCUGGCAAGGCAUUCUUUUUUAUUAGGGGGGCGUUGUUUAUUACCUUUUCUAUAGAAAAGUAGAGACAUUAAAAUGUAAGAUGCAUAAUAAAAAUCUAAGUGGAGAGGCUCUUAUAACCUAUAAUAUUGAGUGAUGCAUGAGGUAGGUGUUCAGAGUAAUCUGCAUUAUCAUGAGAAGAAAACAUGUUUAAUUUUAUAUAAAAUUAAAUGAGUAGUAUAUUAUUGUACUAAUUGUACUAAUUUUUUUUGAGACAGAGUUUUGCUCUUGGUGCCCAGGCUGGAGUGCAUUGGCACGAUCUCUGGCUCACUGUGACCUCUGCCUCCCAGGUUCAAGCGAUU
This 929-nucleotide long non-coding RNA is filed under the name Pan troglodytes (chimpanzee). Its description in RNAcentral is "lincRNA". Lineage: Eukaryota; Metazoa; Chordata; Mammalia; Primates; Hominidae. The record is from RNAcentral.